Molecule: RNA transcript, 4614 nt
Organism: Athalia rosae (coleseed sawfly)
Lineage: Eukaryota; Metazoa; Arthropoda; Insecta; Hymenoptera; Athaliidae
Gene: tho2
Gene name: THO complex subunit 2
Exons: 29
Source: RefSeq, a predicted model, not a curated record
GUGUGCGGUCGAAACGUUGAGCGUGCCUCCUGGGUUUCAGGAUUCUCUAUUUUAUGAACACACACGCGAGUCCGUAAAAUGGUCUCCGUUAACCUGUGGUGUUGAUACUAAUGUUUGUAAGCUAAAUUUUGUAUAGUAUAUUAAAAUGGCUGGUAAAGUAUGGAAUUCUGAGUUAUGGAAAACAUGGGAUAAGCAUGGAAAAAUUGAUUUCCUCAAGUUAAUCAAGCAAAAAUAUAAGGAAGGAAACACAACAGAAUGGAAAACAGGAUUAUAUCAAUUCAUAUCCAAUGGAAUCCGUGGAAAUCUAAAAAAAGACAGUGUCGUGACGACCCUGGGUGAACUCAUGAAUAUCGAUGGUGCGAUUCCAUCAGCAAUUGUGGAUAUAUUUACCUUAAUUGAUGCUGAAGCACAUAAUGAUGAACGAAACAAUUUGUAUUACAUUGUAAAAGAGUCUGAAAAGUUUCUAACAGAUAGAAUUCUUAAAGAACGCCUGGAAAUAGAUACUCUGCAAGAUGUUGGGACCUUAAAGAAUCGCAACUUUCAAACCAAAUUUAUCAAAGUUAAAACUAAACUCUAUUAUAAACAACGGAAAUUUAAUUUAUUUCGCGAAGAAAGUGAAGGAUAUUCCAAACUAAUAGUAGAAUUAAAUCAAGAAUAUCAGGAACAUGAGGUUGCAUCUACCUUGGAAAUUGUUAAAUCUCUAAUCGGUUACUUCAAUCUUGAUCCUAACAGAGUGCUCGAUAUUUUGCUUGAAACCUUUGAGAAUCGCCCGGAUGAUGACAGUCUUUUUAUUCCUUUGAUUCGUUCUUACAUGAGCGAUCAGCAAGUACUCUGCGAGGUUCUAGGUUUUAAAUACCGUUCAACGACAGCAGCUACACCCUUUUCCCUACAGAAAGUCACAGCAUUGAUGUUACAGCAUCAUGUUAUUGAAUUAGAUGAUAUUUUACCUUGGCUUGUACCAGAAGAUAAAGAUAUAAUCAAAGAUCAUGAAUCAGCAAUGAAACAAGCUAAAGAAUACGUGAAAAAAAUGAGUGUUAUAUCCACUAAAGACAAGGAAGAUGUUCCGGAAGAAAAAGAGAUUGUACAGGACAAAUAUAGUACCAAUCAGAAAUUCGGACUUUGUGAGGCAUUGUUAGAAGUCGGUGCAUGGGAAAUUGCUCAGAAUUUAUUCAGUCGUCUACCAGAUCAUUGUUUCACCGACCAACGCCCUAUUGCAUUGGCAUUGUGCAGAAUGAUUCAGUCAAUUAUAGAGCCAGCCUACAGGAAAUAUUGCAUCAUAUCACCUAAGUUACCUGGAAGGAAAGUAGCUCCUAUGAAGAGUCCAUUGGCUCCGCAGCCGUUUCAUAAAUUAGAAGACAUACAUGAUCGCUUACUGCCAAUGUUGGUGAUACUCGGACCAAACCUACAUCAUGACGCAAUUUUAAUGUACAAAGUUAUGCGCUUAUGUCAGACUGCUAUGAAACAAUGCGAAUUAGAUUCAAAUAAGCAGCCAGUAAAUAAAAAUAGCAGCCUCUAUUACGAUGUUCUUACCAUACUAGACGUGGCUUUAUUGCCGUCUCUUUCAUUUAUGGACUGCAACUGUUGCGUAGCUGAAGAAAUUUGGAAUAUCUUGAAAUAUUACCCAUACCAGAGUCGGUACUGUCUCUAUGCCAGAUGGAAAAAUGAUACACCUUUGCAACAUGCAGCGCUCCUGAAAAAGAGGGCAGAUGCUCAAAAGAAAAUUAAAUCUAUCAUGAAACGGGUUAGCAAGGAAACCAUUAAACCUGUUGGGAGAUCUAUUGGUAAAUUAACCCAUUCAUCUCCAGGAGUUUUAUUUGACUAUGUACUCGUACAAAUCCAAUUGUACGAUAAUCUUAUUGGGCCGGUUGUGGAUUCUUUGAAGUAUUUGACAAAUAUUUCUUAUGACAUACUCGGUUAUUGUUUAGUAGAAGCUUUAGCGGGAGCUGAUAGGAAUAGAUUCAAACACGACGGCACUAGCAUAUCCCUGUGGUUACAGUCGCUCGCUUCUUUCUGCGGAGCUAUUUUCAAAAAGUAUAAUAUUGAACUUACCGGCCUUCUGCAGUAUGUGGCCAAUCAACUUAAAGCACAAAAAAGCUUAGACCUGUUAAUUGUGAAAGAGAUCGUGCAAAAAAUGGCUGGCAUCGAAGCUGCUGAAGAAAUGACUCGCGAACAGUUAGAUGCAAUGGCAGGCGGCGACCUCCUGAAAAAUGAAGCUGGGUACUUCAGUCAAGUUCGAAACACAAAGAAAUCGUCGCAACGUUUGAAAGAAGCACUUUCAGAGCACGACUUAGCUGUGGCUUUAUGUCUGUUGAUGGCGCAACAGAAACAUUGUGUUGUAUAUAGAGAAACCGAUAAAUCUCACUUGAAACUUGUAGGGAAAUUAUAUGAUCAGUGUCAAGAUACACUAGUUCAAUUUGGAACAUUUUUGGGAUCGACAAUGACGGUUGAUGAAUACGUAGAACGGCUACCGUCGAUACAUUCUAUGCUUCAAGAUAAUCAUAUCCAUUCUGAUGUUGCAUUUUUUCUUGCUCGACCAAUGUUCGCACAUGCCAUUAACAUGAAAUAUGAUGCACUUCGUAAAGCUGAUCCUAAUUAUAAGAAAAUGUCGAGUGCCCUGAAACAAGCAAAAUAUGCAGAAGCGGCACAAGCAGUUAUGGCACCUGUUGCUCUAUCUGUCAGACCAUUACAUCCACUGAAAGUUUGGGAAGAUAUUUCUCCUCAGUUUUUAGUUACGUUUUGGUCACUUUCGAUGUUCGACUUAUACGUUCCUGUGGAAAGCUAUCAAAGGGAAAUCAAUAAGCUCAAACAACUCGCCACACAAGCUGCUGAUUCCAAAGAUAUGAAUAUGAGCAAGGGCAAAAAAGAACAAGAACGAUACACAACCUUGACUGAAAAGUUACAAGAUGAAAAGAAAAAACAAGAAGAACACGUUGAAAAAGUCUUUGCCUAUUUAAGGCAAGAAAAAGACUCAUGGUUCUUGUCACGAAGUGCAAAAUCUGCUAAGAAUGAAACAAUUACACAAUUCCUACAAUUGUGUUUAUUCCCGCGAUGCACGUUCACAACCGUUGAUGCUAUGUAUUGCGCCAAAUUCGUCCACACUAUUCAUUCGUUGAAGACCGCGAAUUUCUCUACACUGCUUUGCUAUGAUAGACUCUUCUGUGAUAUCACUUACUCAGUAACAUCCUGUACGGAAAAUGAGGCAAAUCGAUAUGGUAGAUUUUUAUGUGCUAUGUUGGAAACAGUGAUGAGAUGGCAUUCAGAAGAAGCUAUUUUUAAUAAGGAAUGCAGUAAUUAUCCUGGAUUCGUGACUAAAUUUCGCGUCAGCAAUCAAUUUUCAGAAGCCAAUAACAUGGUUGGAUUCGAAAAUUACCGGCACGUAUGUCACAAGUGGCAUUACAAAAUAACAAAGGCCAUCGUAGUUUGUCUGGAUUCCAAAGAUUACGUACAGAUCAGAAAUUCCCUCAUAAUAUUGAUUAAAAUAUUGCCACACUUUCCCGUCUUGGCAAAACUCUCUCAGAUACUUGAGAGAAAAGUUGAAAAAGUACGUGACGAAGAGCGUAGUCAGCGGCAAGACUUACACGUAUUAGCAAUGUCAUAUAGCGGACAGCUCAAAGCGAAGGCGUCCAGUAUGAUCAGGGAAUCAGAGUUUCAUCACGUUGGAGAUAAGGCUGGAAAAAAUCUCGAGUCUACCAAUGAUGAUGCGGUAGAAAAAGUUAGCAACGGGGUUGUAAAUAAAGAAAUUAAUAACGGAGAUUUACGCACAGAAAAAGAGGGGAAGGAACUACGUGAGAAACGCAGCAUGUCCGGUCAAACUCAUCACGACAAUUCCGAAAAACUCCGUAAAAAAGAAGAUGGCAAAGAAUUAUUGGAAGGAAGGGAAAAACCCAUUAAAAAAGAAGAACCCAAAUCAGAUGAUACUGUGGAUAAAAAAGAACGAAAAUAUUACAAGGAGGAACAUUAUUAUGGCGGGGGACUGGACAAUUUAGAUCGUGAUUUGUCUAGUGUAUCUAAUAGUAGUGGGAGUUCGGGGCCAUCACCAGAUGCACCUGAAAGGGAUACCAAGCGAAGAAAAGUUGAGAAUGCCCCUAAAGUUAAACAAGAAAAUAGAAGAACAGAAGUAGUAGCAGAAAAGAAAGAACGUUCUGGGAAAACAAAAGUACGAACAGAUGAAGAGAAAGAACUUCGCAGGGAACGAAAACUCGGUCGUAAAAGAGAUCGAACAGAAGAGACUGUUGUUCCAGCAGAACAAAAACGAAGAAAAGAUGACGAGAGAGCAAAAGGAACCCAUCAAAAUGGCGAUGUUCCAGAACAUCGAGAAAAACACCAUUAUAAUAAGUUCUUAAAGACGUCCGCUUCAAGUAUGUUGAAAAGGCGAAUUGGAAGACAGUAACAAUUCCCAGAGGGAAUAAAUAGGAAAAGUCUCCAUACACAAAAGAACGAGUCCACGAACGCGAAGGACGUGAGACACGAGAUAAACAUAGACGGAGUUCAGAUCCAAAGCGAAGGUGAUGUAAUUCAAUGGAAGAAGUUUGACUUACACUUUAUAGCAUAUGUUUGAAUGUUGUAUGUAAUUAAGAUAGAUUUCGAAACAAUAAAAAAAAGCAUAGUGAAUAA